GACGAACGCUGGCGGCGUGCUUAACACAUGCAAGUCGAACGGAAAGGCCCUGCUUGCAGGGUGCUCGAGUGGCGAAAGGGUGAGUAACACGUGGGUGAUCUGCCCCUUACUUUGGGAUAAGCCUGGGAAACUGGGUCUAAUACUGGAUAGGACCAUGCUGUAGGUGGUGUGGUGGAAAGAUUAGUUUCGGUAAGGGAUGAGCUCGCGGCCUAUCAGCUUGUUGGUGGGGUAAUGGCCUACCAAGGCGUCGACGGGUAGCCGGCCUGAGAGGGUGGACGGCCACAUUGGGACUGAGAUACGGCCCAGACUCCUACGGGAGGCAGCAGUGGGGAAUAUUGCACAAUGGGCGCAAGCCUGAUGCAGCGACGCCGCGUGGGGGAUGACGGCCUUCGGGUUGUAAACUCCUUUCAGCCAUGACGAAGCCUUCGGGUGACGGUAGUGGUAGAAGAAGCACCGGCUAACUACGUG
RNAcentral lists this ribosomal RNA (468 nucleotides) under uncultured bacterium. Its description in RNAcentral is "partial 16S ribosomal RNA". It matches the Rfam family "Bacterial small subunit ribosomal RNA", at positions 28 to 507 of the family's 1533-position model. The record is from RNAcentral.